UACAGAGGUCCCAAGCGUUGUUCGGAUUCACUGGGCGUAAAGGGUGCGCAGGUGGUGGGGUAAGUCGGAUGUGAAAGCUCGGAGCUCAACUCCGAAAUGGCAUUGGAAACUACCCUGCUAGAGGAUUGGAGGGGGGACUGGAAUACUUGGUGUAGCAGUGAAAUGCGCAGAUAUCAGGAGGAACACCGGUGGCGAAGGCGGGUCUCUGGGCCGUAACUGACGCUGAGGAGCGAAAGCGUGGGGAGCGAACAGG
Molecule: ribosomal RNA, 253 nt
Filed under: uncultured bacterium
Lineage: Bacteria
Description: partial 16S ribosomal RNA
Rfam family: Bacterial small subunit ribosomal RNA
Source: RNAcentral